GACGAACGCUGGCGGCGUGCUUAACACAUGCAAGUCGAGCGGUAAGGCCCUUUCGGGGGUACACGAGCGGCGAACGGGUGAGUAACACGUGGGUGACCUGCCCUUAGCUCUGGGAUAAGCCUGGGAAACUGGGUCUAAUACCGGAUAUGACUCCAUGACGCAUGUUGUGGGGUGGAAAGCCUUGUGCGGCUAGGGAUGGGCCCGCGGCCUAUCAGCUUGUUGGUGGGGUGAUGGCCUACCAAGGCGACGACGGGUAGCCGGCCUGAGAGGGCGACCGGCCACACUGGGACUGAGACACGGCCCAGACUCCUACGGGAGGCAGCAGGUGGGGAAUCUUGCGCAAUGGGCGAAAGCCUGACGCAGCGACGCCGCGUGGGGAUGACGGCCUCGGUGUA
RNAcentral lists this ribosomal RNA (395 nucleotides) under uncultured bacterium. RNAcentral's name for it is "bacterial SSU rRNA". It matches the Rfam family "Bacterial small subunit ribosomal RNA", at positions 28 to 427 of the family's 1533-position model. The record is from RNAcentral.